This is a regulatory RNA element of Anopheles darlingi, 46 nucleotides long. It matches the Rfam family "Histone 3' UTR stem-loop". Rfam says of the family: The mRNAs of metazoan histone genes lack a poly-A tail. The record is from Rfam. Lineage: Eukaryota; Metazoa; Arthropoda; Insecta; Diptera; Culicidae.
CAAACGGCCCUUUUCAGGGCCACCAAAGAGAUCCGAAAAAGAUCAC